AGAGUUUGAUCAUGGCUCAGAUUGAACGCUGGCGGCAGGCCUAACACAUGCAAGUCGAACGGUAACAGGAAGAAGCUUGCUUCUUUGCUGACGAGUGGCGGACGGGUGAGUAAUGUCUGGGAAACUGCCUGAUGGAGGGGGAUAACUACUGGAAACGGUAGCUAAUACCGCAUAACGUCGCAAGACCUAAGAGGGGGACCUUCGGGCCUCUUGCCAUCGGAUGUGCCCAGAUGGGAUUAGCUAGUAGGUGGGGUAACGGCUCACCUAGGCGACGAUCCCUAGCUGGUCUGAGAGGAUGACCAGCCACACUGGAACUGAGACACGGUCCAGACUCCUACGGGAGGCAGCAGUGGGGAAUAUUGCACAAUGGGCGCAAGCCUGAUGCAGCCAUGCCGCGUGUAUGAAGAAGGCCUUCGGGUUGUAAAGUACUUUCAGCGGGGAGGAAGGGAGUAAAGUUAAUACCUUUGCUCAUUGACGUUACCCGCAGAAGAAGCACCGGCUAACUCCGUGCCAGCAGCCGCGGUAAUACGGAGGGUGCAAGCGUUAAUCGGAAUUACUGGGCGUAAAGCGCACGCAGGCGGUUUGUUAAGUCAGAUGUGAAAUCCCCGGGCUCAACCUGGGAACUGCAUCCGAUACUGGCAAGCUUGAGUCUCGUAGAGGGGGGUAGAAUUCCAGGUGUAGCGGUGAAAUGCGUAGAGAUCUGGAGGAAUACCGGUGGCGAAGGCGGCCCCCUGGACGAAGACUGACGCUCAGGUGCGAAAGCGUGGGGAGCAAACAGGAUUAGAUACCCUGGUAGUCCACGCCGUAAACGAUGUCGACUUGGAGGUUGUGCCCUUGAGGCGUGGCUUCCGGAGCUAACGCGUUAAGUCGACCGCCUGGGGAGUACGGCCGCAAGGUUAAAACUCAAAUGAAUUGACGGGGGCCCGCACAAGCGGUGGAGCAUGUGGUUUAAUUCGAUGCAACGCGAAGAACCUUACCUGGUCUUGACAUCCACGGAAGUUUUCAGAGAUGAGAAUGUGCCUUCGGGAACCGUGAGACAGGUGCUGCAUGGCUGUCGUCAGCUCGUGUUGUGAAAUGUUGGGUUAAGUCCCGCAACGAGCGCAACCCUUAUCCUUUGUUGCCAGCGGUCCGGCCGGGAACUCAAAGGAGACUGCCAGUGAUAAACUGGAGGAAGGUGGGGAUGACGUCAAGUCAUCAUGCCCCUUACGACCAGGGCUACACACGUGCUACAAUGGCGCAUACAAAGAGAAGCGACCUCGCGAGAGCAAGCGGACCUCAUAAAGUGCGUCGUAGUCCGGAUUGGAGUCUGCAACUCGACUCCAUGAAGUCGGAAUCGCUAGUAAUCGUGGAUCAGAAUGCCACGGUGAAUACGUUCCCGGGCCUUGUACACACCGCCCGUCACACCAUGGGAGUGGGUUGCAAAAGAAGUAGGUAGCUUAACCUUCGGGAGGGCGCUUACCACUUUGUGAUUCAUGACUGGGGUGAAGUCGAAACAAGGUAACCGUAGGGGAACCUGCGGUUG
Molecule: ribosomal RNA, 1522 nt
Filed under: metagenome
Description: bacterial SSU rRNA
Rfam family: Bacterial small subunit ribosomal RNA
Source: RNAcentral